RNAcentral lists this ribosomal RNA (291 nucleotides) under uncultured bacterium. RNAcentral's name for it is "partial 16S ribosomal RNA". It matches the Rfam family "Archaeal small subunit ribosomal RNA", at positions 455 to 747 of the family's 1478-position model. The record is from RNAcentral.
GUGCCGCGCCGCGGUACUACCGGCAGCCCGAGUGAUGACCGAUCUUAUUGGGCCUAAAGCGUCCGUAGCUGGCUACGCAAGUCCGUCGGGAAAUCCACUCGCCCAACGAGUGGGCGUCCGACGGAAACUGCAUAGCUUGGGACCGGGAGGCUCGAAGGGUACGUGCGGGGUAGGAGUGAAAUCCUGUAAUCCUGGACGGACCGCCGGUGGCGAAAGCGCCUCGGGAAGACGGACCCGACAGUGAGGGACGAAAGCUGGGAUCUCGAACCGGAUUAGAUACCCGGGUAGUCC